This 253-nucleotide ribosomal RNA is filed under the name uncultured bacterium. Its description in RNAcentral is "partial 16S ribosomal RNA". It matches the Rfam family "Bacterial small subunit ribosomal RNA", at positions 524 to 776 of the family's 1533-position model. The record is from RNAcentral.
UACGUAGGGGGCAAGCGUUGUCCGGAAUUACUGGGCGUAAAGCGCGUGUAGGCGGGACGGCAAGUCAGCUGUGAAAGCCCCGGGCUCAACCUGGGAAUGGCAUUGGAAACUGGCGAGCUAGAGUGUGGCAGAGGGGGGUGGAAUUCCGCGUGUAGCAGUGAAAUGCGUAGAGAUGCGGAGGAACACCGAUGGCGAAGGCAGCCCCCUGGGCUGACACUGACGCUCAGGCACGAAAGCGUGGGGAGCAAACAGG